UGGAAAUGCAAAUUAACACUACAGUGUGAUACCACCGUUCACCCUCCAGGAUGGCUAAAAUGGAAGAGAUUGUCCACGGACCCUGUAUCCAGAGACUUUGGGGCCGAUGCGGGUGGACUUCUGAGCGGUGUUGUGAGCACGCAGGUCUCAGACUGUUUCUGCGGGGCUGAAGGGAAUGACUUCUCAUACUCAUACCGUCCUCCUUCUCCAUUUCUGCAGUCCUCCCACAUCUACAUUCUGCAGGCUGCUGGCCCAGAACACAGAAGGCAGGGAACAUAAGUAGAAACUGGGAGAUCAACCGGGAGAAGAUCAUGGCUUGGACUGGAGGUAGCAGUGGAGAAUUCAAGAAGCAGUCAGAUUCUGGCUACAUCUUGAAGGUAACACUAACUGGAUUUGUUGAUGAUUGAUGUGGGGUGUGAAGGAAAGAGAGGCAGUAAGGACGACCACGGCGUUUGACCUGGGCAACUGGAAGUAUGACAUUGCCAUUUAUUCAGAUGGGAAAGCGGGAGAAGAAGGAACAAGAGUUCCAUUUGGAUGUGCUGAGUUAGCUGACUAUAGGACCUCCAAGUGGAGGUGGUGGUGAGGCUGCUGGCUGCGCAAGUCUGGAACUCGGGAAGGGGGAGCUAGAGACAUAAGUGUGGC
This 642-nucleotide long non-coding RNA is filed under the name Equus asinus (donkey). RNAcentral describes it as "lncRNA (ENSEASG00005029725.1)". Lineage: Eukaryota; Metazoa; Chordata; Mammalia; Perissodactyla; Equidae. The record is from RNAcentral.